UUAGGAUUUCGAGGAUAGCAGACGGUGACAGGAGAUUUUCCGCGAGGAAAGAGCGCGCUCAGACUCAUUUUCGCUUCGACCGUGCCAACAGCUACGCUACCGAAACCGUCAACAAUCCGCGAGCCGUUUUUCCGUAUUGGCGUACAAGUGUGUUCCCGAGCUUCGAGUGCCUGGAGGGACGCCUCCAGAUCCACCCCAGCCCACAACUAUUCCUGGUGCCGUCAACGGUCGUGAGAACGAGGGAUAGAGCGUUCGGCCAGCGACCGAGCUUAUAGAAAUAGUGCGGAACAAACCUGUUUGGACGGCUUCAUUUGAAAAUUAAAAAGGUGGGUUUCCGGACUCAAAAAGAUUCGUUUGGCAUCUCUCAGUGGCACUUGUAGUUCGCAGAGUUUCGUAUGAUUCGCAUAUCGAUCGUGAUCGUGAGCUUCUAUGUUCAAUAUCCAAUCCUAUAGAUAAAUCACGAAAGAGAUAAAAAUGUAUCGAAAAUAUUUUUCAAUCGUAAAUAAUGCGUAAACUCUCCGAAUUAUUAGCGUACUUUUAUUUCUUGAGGAUUUACUCCAGUUAUAACAAAAGAUUCUCUAAAAACUGGACUGGCCGUGUGUCUUACGCCCUUGGUUUUAAAACUAUAUAACUUCUGCUUCUUCCGAUGGGUCCAAGAUUGUUUGAUCACCUCCAAGAACACGUAAGGCUCCAAAGUGCAGUUAUAUUGUUUUGGUGGAAGACCAGAUAAUGCCUAAGAGUAUAACAAUUUUUUAAUUAUUUCAUAAUGUUUUCUUCAUGGAAUCACAACUCGAUUAAGAUAUUAUGAUCUUUUAUUUAUAAAUCUUGCAUGAGUUUCAUAAUCAAUUCAUAAAAAUAUAAUAUUUGUUUACCUCUAUGCCAAUAACUAAUUUUGCAGCUGUGAUCCCUUCGCAAUGUGGCAAGUAGCGAAGACUCAACGUUAAUUCCGUAGGAAAGUGUUUCUCUUUGGUUCCAUUUUUUUGUUUUGGUGGCUGCACGAGAUUCUAAAUAACAUAAUUACGUAUUUCACCACAUCGAGUAUAUACGUAAGAGUUUAUAUACUUUAAAAUGAAAUUUAGAAUUACCACGACUGACGAGGUGUCGAUCGUUUCCAACCGACUAUUUUCAGAGAUGAUAGAGUUUCUAGGCGACGUCGAAUUUUCGCAGAUAGUUCCUGGUUUGAAAAAUGUUUAUUCAUUUAAUUCUUUGUAACGUUUUGUAAUUUUUAUAUUUUUGUCAUUAAAAUAAAUAAAAAUUACCG
Long non-coding RNA from Nasonia vitripennis (jewel wasp), 1261 nucleotides. RefSeq lists it as uncharacterized. The transcript has 2 exons. NCBI's taxonomy places the organism in Eukaryota, Metazoa, Arthropoda, Insecta, Hymenoptera, Pteromalidae. The record is from RefSeq and is a predicted model, not a curated record.